Rhineura floridana is the source of this 500-nucleotide long non-coding RNA. RefSeq lists it as uncharacterized. The record is from RefSeq and is a predicted model, not a curated record. Lineage: Eukaryota; Metazoa; Chordata; Lepidosauria; Squamata; Rhineuridae. The transcript has 2 exons.
CUGUUGCCAGCAGCUGACCUUGAUUAUACCAUAAUUACAGCUGAGAUCUAAGCCUGGUUCAGAGCAGCGUUUGCUUAUCUCCCGAUUACAAGUGGCUAUUUUCUCAUAUGAGGUAUUUGUGGGAGACUCAAGGUUGGCUGCUGACAUUUGAGUAUUACAAAUGUCUGAGGAAGCAUUGAAACAGUUUAACAAUCCAGAAUAACCGUCAUCUUUGUAUUGUGUCAUUCUCCAGAAGCAAUGAAGCAUUGUUACACAUUGUUACAUAUUGUUGUUUCAGGUCCCCUGUUUUGGGUCUCCCAAUAUCUUUAUCUAUUCUGUGAUUCACAGUGCUUGUUUUUAUAGUUUUGCUAGUUUUCAUUUCAGCUGCAUGCCACAGUGCUUUUCAUUUUUCUUUACAAAUUUGGGUAGUGACUUCUUUGUGAGUUUUCUGAUUCGAUAUAAUGCAGGUUGCUAUGUUCCCAUGUGCUUAGACCUUAAAGUUGGCAUGAUUUAAAUAUAAA